AAUAGAUACCCGGGUAGUCCUAGCCGUAAAUGAUACUCGCUAGGUGUCGGCCACGGUGCGACCGUUGUCGGUGCCGUAGGGAAGCCGUGAAGCGAGCCACCUGGGAAGUACGGCCGCAAGGCUGAAACUUAAAGGAAUUGGCGGGGGAGCACCACAACGGGUGGAGCUUGCGGUUUAAUUGGAUUCAACGCCGGAAAUCUUACCGGGACCGACAGCAAUAUGAAGGCCAGGCUGAAGACUUUGCCGGAUUAGCUGAGAGGUGGUGCAUGGCCGUCGUCAGUUCGUACUGUGAAGCAUCCUGUUAAGUCAGGCAACGAGCGAGACCCACGCCCACAGUUGCCAGCGUACUCUCUGGAGUGACGGGUACACUGUGGGGACCGCCGCUGCUAAAGCGGAGGAAGGAAUGGGCAACGGUAGGUCAGUAUGCCCCGAAUAUCCCGGGCUACACGCGAGCUACAAUGGUUGGUACAAUGGGUAUCUACCCCGAAAGGGGACGGGAAUCUCCUAAAACCAAUCUUAGUUCGGAUUGAGGGCUGCAACUCGCCCCUCA
RNAcentral lists this ribosomal RNA (550 nucleotides) under uncultured bacterium. Its description in RNAcentral is "bacterial SSU rRNA". It matches the Rfam family "Archaeal small subunit ribosomal RNA", at positions 728 to 1276 of the family's 1478-position model. The record is from RNAcentral.